CAGUAGCCACGGUAAUACGUAGGUGGCAAGCGUUGUCCGGAAUUAUUGGGCGUAAAGGGCUCGCAGGCGGUUUCUUAAGCCUGAUGUGAAAGCCCCCGGCUCAACCGGGGAGGGUCAUUGGAAACUGGGAAACUUGAGUGCAGAAGAGGAGAGUGGAAUUCCACGUGUAGCGGUGAAAUGCGUAGAGAUGUGGAGGAACACCAGUGGCGAAGGCGACUCUCUGGUCUGUAACUGACGCUGAGGAGCGAAAGCGUGGGGAGCGAACAGGAUUAGAUACCCGUGUAGUCCCUGUCUCUUAUAA
RNAcentral lists this ribosomal RNA (301 nucleotides) under uncultured bacterium. RNAcentral describes it as "partial 16S ribosomal RNA". It matches the Rfam family "Bacterial small subunit ribosomal RNA", at positions 509 to 809 of the family's 1533-position model. The record is from RNAcentral.